RNAcentral lists this ribosomal RNA (200 nucleotides) under uncultured bacterium. RNAcentral's name for it is "partial 16S ribosomal RNA". It matches the Rfam family "Bacterial small subunit ribosomal RNA", at positions 8 to 200 of the family's 1533-position model. The record is from RNAcentral.
AGAGUUUGAUCCUGGCUCAGGACGAACGCUGGCGGCGUGCCUAAUACAUGCAAGUCGAGCGAAUUGACGAAGAAGCUUGCUUCUUCUGAUGUUAGCGGCGGACGGGUGAGUAACACGUGGGCAACCUACCUUAUAGUUUGGGAUAACUCCGGGAAACCGGGGCUAAUACCGAAUAAUCUAUUUCUCCUCAUGAAGAAAUA